RNAcentral lists this ribosomal RNA (253 nucleotides) under uncultured bacterium. Its description in RNAcentral is "partial 16S ribosomal RNA". It matches the Rfam family "Bacterial small subunit ribosomal RNA", at positions 524 to 776 of the family's 1533-position model. The record is from RNAcentral.
UACGUAGGGGGCAAGCGUUGUCCGGAAUCAUUGGGCGUAAAGAGCGUGUAGGCGGCUCGAUAAGUCUGCUGUGAAAGUCCAGGGCUCAACCCUGGAAGGCCGGUGGAAACUGUCGGGCUCGAGUCCGGAAGAGGAGUGUGGAAUUCCUGGUGUAGCGGUGAAAUGCGCAGAUAUCAGGAGGAACACCAAUGGCGAAGGCAGCACUCUGGGACGUGACUGACGCUGAGACGCGAAAGCGUGGGGAGCAAACAGG